This 21-nucleotide unclassified non-coding RNA is filed under the name Dictyostelium discoideum. Lineage: Eukaryota; Evosea; Eumycetozoa; Dictyosteliales; Dictyosteliaceae. The record is from RNAcentral.
AAAUCCAGUAGUGGGAGUAGU